This 496-nucleotide ribosomal RNA is filed under the name uncultured bacterium. Its description in RNAcentral is "partial 16S ribosomal RNA". It matches the Rfam family "Bacterial small subunit ribosomal RNA", at positions 28 to 506 of the family's 1533-position model. The record is from RNAcentral.
GAUGAACGCUGGCGGCGUGCUUAAUACAUGCAAGUCGAGCGAACAGACGAGGAGCUUGCUCCUCUGACGUUAGCGGCGGACGGGUGAGUAACACGUGGAUAACCUACCUAUAAGACUGGGAUAACUUCGGGAAACCGGAGCUAAUACCGGAUAAUAUAUUGAACCGCAUGGUUCAAUAGUGAAAGACGGUUUUGCUGUCACUUAUAGAUGGAUCCGCGCCGCAUUAGCUAGUUGGUAAGGUAACGGCUUACCAAGGCAACGAUGCGUAGCCGACCUGAGAGGGUGAUCGGCCACACUGGAACUGAGACACGGUCCAGACUCCUACGGGAGGCAGCAGUAGGGAAUCUUCCGCAAUGGGCGAAAGCUUGACGGAGCAACGCCGCGUGAGUGAUGAAGGUCUUCGGAUCGUAAAACUCUGUUAUUAGGGAAGAACAAAUGUGUAAGUAACUAUGCACGUCUUGACGGUACCUAAGCAGAAAGCCACGGCUAACUACGU